This 511-nucleotide long non-coding RNA is filed under the name Homo sapiens (human). RNAcentral's name for it is "HSALNT0384801". Lineage: Eukaryota; Metazoa; Chordata; Mammalia; Primates; Hominidae. The record is from RNAcentral.
UUUUUUUUUUUUUUUUUAAUGACUGCAGUAUUCAUUUUAUUUUUAUAUUAUUUAUUUAUUCUUCCUUAGUUUCUUGAGAUUAUCAUCCGCUGAGGGUGGAAGGGGAGUGAGCAGACACACUCAGGAGGUGUCUUGAGAUUAUCAUCCGCUGAGGGUGGAGCUGAGGGUGGAAGGGGAGUGAGCAGACACUCGGGAGGUGUCUUGAGAUUAUCAUCCGCUGAGGGUAGAGCUGAGGGUGGAAGGGGAGUGAGCAGACACUCGGGAGGUGUCUUGAGAUUAUCAUCCGCUGAGGGUGGAAGGGGAUAGAGCACACACUCGGAAGGUGUCUUGAGAUUAUCAUCCGCUGAGGGUAGAGCUGAGGGUGGAAGGGGAGUGAGCAGACACUCGGGAGGUGUCUUGAGGCUCAGGGAGUUAUCAAUUAUAGAAUGUUGUUGAGUUGGAGGAGGUGGCUGGUGGCCCAUCCUGUUUUUUAAAGUUUCAGCUGUGAGGUAGGGCCAGUAGGGCAAUCCUG